UACGAAGGGGACUAGCGUUGUUCGGAUUCACUGGGCGUAAAGGGUGCGUAGGCGGUCGGGUAAGUCUGAUGUGAAAUCUCACAGCUUAACUGUGAAACUGCAUUGGAUACUAUCCGGCUCGAGGAAUGGAGGGGAGACUGGAAUACUUGGUGUAGCAGUGAAAUGCGUAGAUAUCAAGUGGAACACCAGUGGCGAAGGCGAGUCUCUGGACAUUUCCUGACGCUGAGGCACGAAAGCCAGGGGAGCAAACGGG
Molecule: ribosomal RNA, 253 nt
Filed under: uncultured bacterium
Lineage: Bacteria
Description: partial 16S ribosomal RNA
Rfam family: Bacterial small subunit ribosomal RNA
Source: RNAcentral